UCGGGAAUAUUGGACAAUGGGCGAAAGCCUGAUCCAGCAAUGCCGCGUGAGUGAUGAAGGUCUUAGGAUUGUAAAGCUCUUUUGACGAGGAAGAUAAUGACGGUACUCGUAGAAUAAGCACCGGCUAAUUUCGUGCCAGCAGCCGCGGUAAUACGAAAGGUGCUAGCGUUACUCGGAUUUACUGGGCGUAAAGCGCGUGUAGGCUGAUUUGUAAGUUAGUUGUUAAAACCCGAAGCUUAACUUCGGACAUGCAACUAAAACUGCAAAUCUUGAAUAUGGUAGGGGACAAUGGAAUUUCUUGUGUAGGGGUAAAAUCCGUAGAUAUAAGAAGGAACACCAAAGGCUAACGCAAUUGUCUGGGCCAUUAUUGACGCUGAGACGCGAAAGCGUGGGUAGCAAA
RNAcentral lists this ribosomal RNA (400 nucleotides) under uncultured bacterium. RNAcentral describes it as "bacterial SSU rRNA". It matches the Rfam family "Bacterial small subunit ribosomal RNA", at positions 355 to 772 of the family's 1533-position model. The record is from RNAcentral.